This 253-nucleotide ribosomal RNA is filed under the name uncultured bacterium. RNAcentral describes it as "partial 16S ribosomal RNA". It matches the Rfam family "Bacterial small subunit ribosomal RNA", at positions 524 to 776 of the family's 1533-position model. The record is from RNAcentral.
UACGGAGGGUGCAAGCGUUAUCCGGAUUCACUGGGUUUAAAGGGUGCGUAGGUGGGCUAGUAAGUCCGUGGUGAAAUCUCCAAGCUUAACUUGGAAACUGCCGUGGAUACUAUUAGUCUUGAAUGUUGUGGAGGUAAGCGGAAUAUGUCAUGUAGCGGUGAAAUGCUUAGAUAUGACAUAGAACACCGAUAGCGGAGGCAGCUUGCUACACAAUGAUUGACACUGAGGCACGAAAGCGUGGGGAUCAAACAGG